This 68-nucleotide transfer RNA is filed under the name Crassvirales sp. RNAcentral's name for it is "tRNA-Lys". It matches the Rfam family "tRNA", at positions 5 to 66 of the family's 71-position model. From Rfam's summary of the family: Transfer RNA (tRNA) molecules are approximately 80 nucleotides in length. Their secondary structure includes four short double-helical elements and three loops (D, anti-codon, and T loops). Lineage: Duplodnaviria; Heunggongvirae; Uroviricota; Caudoviricetes; Crassvirales. The record is from RNAcentral.
UUCGUAGCUCAUUUGGUUAGAGCGAUAUUCAUUUAAAAUAUAUGUAGUUGGUUCGAUUCCAACCGAGA